Molecule: RNA transcript, 1193 nt
Organism: Propithecus coquereli (Coquerel's sifaka)
Lineage: Eukaryota; Metazoa; Chordata; Mammalia; Primates; Indriidae
Gene name: testis-specific serine/threonine-protein kinase 1-like
Exons: 2
Source: RefSeq, a predicted model, not a curated record
AAUGCUGAAUGUUCCACCCCAGAGUCUUGGCCUCUAGGAGGCAGGGACAGCAGGCCCGGCCAGCCUAGAGGACACUGUGUCCACAGUGUCAAUGAGGACGCCGCUGGCCCAUGUCCCACAGGGAUGUAGAGGGCAGCCUCAGAGGCACUGGGCACUCCCGGUACCAUGGAUGACGCUGCUGUCCUCAAGCGACAAGGCUACAUCAUGGGGACAACUUUGGGAGAGGGCUCGUACGCAAAACUAAAAUCUGCUUACUCUGAGCGCCUGAAGUUCAACGUAGCAGUCAAGAUCAUCGACUGCAAGAAAACCUCCACGGACUUCUUGGAGAAAUUCCUUCUCCGGGAAAUUGAAAUUCUGGUGAUGCUAAACCACCCCUCCAUCAUCAAGACCUACAAGAUCUUCGAGACAUCAGAUGGCAAGGUCUACAUCGUCAUGGAGCUUGGGGCCCAGGGCGACCUCCUUGAGUUCAUCAAAACCUGGGGAGCCCUGUGAGAGGACAAUGCUCGAAAGAUGUUCCAGCAGCUCUCUUCGGCCAUCUCCUCGGCCAUCAAGUACUGCCACGACCUGGAUGUCGUCCACCGUGACCUUAAGUGUGAGGACCUUCUCCUCGACAAGGACUUCAACAUCAAGCUGUCUGACUUUAGCUUUUCCAAGCGCUGCCUGCGGGACGACACUGGGCAGUGUACGCGGCCCCCAAGGUGCUGCAGGGCAUCCCCUACCAGCCCAAGGCGUACGACAUCUGGAGCCUGGGUGUAAUCCUCUACAUAAUGGUCUGUGACUUCAUGCCCUGCGAUGACUUCGACAUCAAGAAGAUGCUGCGCAUCCAGAAGGAGCAUCGCGUGGACUUCCCACGCUCCAAGAACCUGACGGGCGAGUGCAAGGACCUCAUCUACUGCAUGGUCCAGCCCGACAUCAACCGGCGGCUGCACAUUGACGAAAUCCUCAGCCACUGCUGGGUGCAGCCCAAAGCACGGGACCUGUCCUCUGCAGCCAUCCCCCACAAAGAGGGGAAGAGCUCCCGCGUCACAGAGUCCUCAGGGACCCCUGAGCCCUAUGCUGACGAGAAGUCCGCCACCAAGCUAGAGCCCCAGACCCAGGCUCGGCCUUCAUCGUCACCCUCUGCUCCCGGAGGCUGCCCUGGCCUGGCCGCCUCUCGCCUGCUCAAAAGCACCGGCCCCCUCCUCUCUCCCUAA